Molecule: long non-coding RNA, 1904 nt
Organism: Oncorhynchus kisutch (coho salmon)
Lineage: Eukaryota; Metazoa; Chordata; Actinopteri; Salmoniformes; Salmonidae
Exons: 4
Source: RefSeq, a predicted model, not a curated record
CUAGUGACGUUAAUGUGUGUUGUAUCAGGUGGAUCCAGACACUGGUCUCAUCAACUACGACUAGUGACGUUAAUCUGUGUUGUAUCAGGUGGAUCCUAGUGACGUUAAUCUGUGUUGUAUCAGGUGGAUCCAGACACUGGUCUCAUCAACUACGACUAGUGACGUUAAUCUGUGUUGUAUCAGGUGGAUCCUAGUGACGUUAAUCUGUGUUGUAUCAGGUGAAUCCUAGUGACGUUAAUCUGUGUUGUAUCAGGUGGAUCCAGACACUGGUCUCAUCAACUACGACUAGUGACGUUAAUCUGUGUUGUAUCAGGUGGAUCCAGACACUGGUCUCAUCAACUACGACUAGUGACGUUAAUCUGUGUUGUUUGUAUCAGGUGGAUCCUAGUGACGUUAAUCUGUGUUGUAUCAGGUGGAUCCUAGUGACGUUAAUCUGUGUUGUAUCAAGUGUAUCCUAGUGACGUUAAUCUGUGUUGUAUCAGGUGGAUCCUAGUGACGUUAAUCUGUGUUGUAUCAGGUGGAUCCUAGUGACGUUAAUCUGUGUUGUAUCAGGUGGAUCCAGACACUGGUCUCAUCAACUACGACUAGUGACGUUAAUCUGUGUUGUAUCAGGUGGAUCCUAGUGACGUUAAUCUGUGUUGUAUCAGGUGAAUCCUAGUGACGUUAAUCUGUGUUUUAUCAGGUGAAUCCAGACACUGGUCUCAUCAACUACGACUAGUGACGUUAAUCUGUGUUGUAUCAGGUGGAUCCAGACACUGGUCUCAUCAACUACGACUAGUGACGUUAAUCUGUGUUGUAUCAGGUGGAUCCUAGUGACGUUAAUCUGUGUUGUAUCAGGUGAAUCCUAGUGACGUUAAUCUGUGUUGUAUCAGGUGGAUCCAGACACUGGUCUCAUCAACUACGACUAGUGACGUUAAUCUGUGUUGUAUCAGGUGGAUCCAGACACUGGUCUCAUCAACUACGACUAGUGACGUUAAUCUGUGUUGUAUCAGGUGGAUCCUAGUGACGUUAAUCUGUGUUGUAUCAGGUGGAUCCAGACACUGGUCUCAUCAACUACGACUAGUGACGUUAAUCUGUGUUGUAUCAGGUGGAUCCUAGUGACGUUAAUCUGUGUUGUAUCAGGUGAAUCCUAGUGACGUUAAUCUGUGUUGUAUCAGGUGGAUCCAGACACUGGUCUCAUCAACUACGACUAGUGACGUUAAUCUGUGUUGUAUCAGGUGGAUCCAGACACUGGUCUCAUCAACUACGACUAGUGACGUUAAUCUGUGUUGUUUGUAUCAGGUGGAUCCUAGUGACGUUAAUCUGUGUUGUUUGUAUCAGGUGGAUCCUAGUGACGUUAAUCUGUGUUGUAUCAAGUGUAUCCUAGUGACGUUAAUCUGUGUUGUAUCAGGUGGAUCCUAGUGACGUUAAUCUGUGUUGUAUCAGGUGGAUCCUAGUGACGUUAAUCUGUGUUGUAUCAGGUGGAUCCAGACACUGGUCUCAUCAACUACGACUAGUGACGUUAAUCUGUGUUGUAUCAGGUGGAUCCUAGUGACGUUAAUCUGUGUUGUAUCAGGUGAAUCCUAGUGACGUUAAUCUGUGUUUUAUCAGGUGAAUCCAGACACUGGUCUCAUCAACUACGACUAGUGACGUUAAUCUGUGUUGUAUCAGGUGGAUCCAGACACUGGUCUCAUCAACUACGACUAGUGACGUUAAUCUGUGUUGUAUCAGGUGGAUCCUAGUGACGUUAAUCUGUGUUGUAUCAGGUGAAUCCUAGUGACGUUAAUCUGUGUUGUAUCAGGUGGAUCCAGACACUGGUCUCAUCAACUACGACUAGUGACGUUAAUCUGUGUUGUAUCAGGUGGAUCCUAGUGACGUUAAUCUGUGUUGUAUCAGGUGGAUCCUAGUGACGUUAAUCUGUGUUG